AGGAGGCCGAUCCCCUCGAAGUGAUCAUCUCCUUUUCUCCGCUUCCUUCUAUGAUAAAACCCUAGGGUCUUAUCACAUAGUUAUUUCUACAGUUUGCUCUACAAAACUUUUAUUAGCCACUACUCUAUAAAGAACUAAUUCACUCCGAAACUCAAAUAUAUUUUUUUCUCAUAAAUUUUCCUUUUAUUUUUUCUCUUGAUAUCGUGCAAAAUUGUACAUUCUGUCUAUCUUCUUGAAUGGCUGUACAAUUAUGCUUAUGAGCAUUGAUCAAAUAAUGCCCAGUCGCUUUUCCAUGUUUCUUUUUUUCUCGAGAUGGUACCGUAUGAUAAAGAACCUGAAGAGACUUGAUAGUAGACAACAUUAAAGAAAUUGUUGAUGAAACAGAGUGGUUGUUCUUGUCUCACUAGAAGGUAAAAAAUAUCAGUUGACUCCUUUGAUUGAAUAAUCAUCCUAGACUCUAUUUAGAAGAACCCAAGUUAACAUCUACUUUUUUUACCUUCCCCUUCCCUUUGUGAUCAUUGAAUUCGUCUCAUUCUCAAGACAAAUAAUCUGCAAGAUUUUGUUAUUUCACUAAAAUAAGUAACAACUUUUUUGUCAACCUGUACCUAGCGUCAAAUCUGCAACAUCUCAACAACUUCUACCUGCUUAAUACCGACUCCCAUACACAUGUUACAAUAGAGCUGUGAUGCCCACAUUGUACUAACUCCACCAAUGUGAUAGUUCUUUUAGGGGCUUAGUGACUUACAUUUCACCAGCGUUUGAUUAAUUAUCAGACAAAGGCCACAAUGAAUGCAGCCCAACUAACUCCACUAGAUGCAUUAGCACACAUCAUUGCAAGUGACUAUAUAAAGUUGUUCAGGAUCUAUAUAUGAACAUGCAAGAGUAUCCCUUCCUGUGAAUUCUUCCUCUUGUGGUUUUUUUUUUCUGGGGUUGUAGAGCAGUGCUGAGGUUUUAAGCAUGAGAGGGAAAGAUGGUGUUGGCGCUGUAGCAGAGCUGAUGUCUGAUAUAUGGAGCCUGUUACCUGAGCCACAGGGGGAGGAGGCAAGUAAAGAUGAUAUGCUCUUUCGGGAUGACACUGAGGGUCAAGGGAUGGAAUUCGUGAAAGAAGAUACUGGAGCAGUAAUGCAGUCACUGCACCUGAAGGCCAUCGGCGCAAUGCUAAUAAACACUGCCACUACUAUCCACCGCUCACCGGAGGCUCUCAACUUUAAGCUGAAGCUCGAUGCCCCUUCGUAGUCCUGCCGGCUUGUCUGCACGUGCCCAUCAACAACUCCUACAUAUCGGUCCAAGUUAGUACAUCAACUUUGUUCCUGCAUAACUUGUCAUCGCUCUGAAGAUGCCAAAUCACUGCCAUUUUGGUCUCUGCUUACUAUAUUUUGUCAACGAAGAUAGCAGUUGCAAUAGCAUAUCGAGCCUGCAUUGGAAUUCUUUGUUCUUUGGAAUUUUUUUGUUCUUGGGAACUAAACGGGGAGAAGUAUCAUUUGCGUACUCUUGUCUUUGUUUCUGCUGGUGGUCCCUCUUAGUCGGUUGUAGAAAAUUUAAGGUCACAGAUCUGUGUAUUAUAGACUGUUCUACAUUAUGCAAUUGGAGAGGAAUUCUGUUUGGUUC
Molecule: non-coding RNA, 1608 nt
Organism: Musa acuminata subsp. malaccensis (wild Malaysian banana)
Lineage: Eukaryota; Viridiplantae; Streptophyta; Magnoliopsida; Zingiberales; Musaceae
Source: RefSeq, a predicted model, not a curated record